This 381-nucleotide long non-coding RNA is filed under the name Olea europaea (common olive). Its description in RNAcentral is "long non-coding RNA (OEUR_LNC009731)". The record is from RNAcentral. Lineage: Eukaryota; Viridiplantae; Streptophyta; Magnoliopsida; Lamiales; Oleaceae.
UCUCCAGAAUCACGCGAGCAUGGCUGAUUUCUUCUCGUUGUCAAAUGAGUUUCUGUGGGCAAGAGAGUAAUGUGCCAAGGAAGGUACAUCAAUUAUCAAAGAUGAAUCUGAACUGGGUGAAAAAAUCUCUUGGAUUUGCAAAGAAGCGUGAUUUCGACUCGAUAUUAUUGGAUUUUCAACAGGAAUGAUUGGUUCUGGUUUUCUUGGCUUUGCAGAGAAAAUUAAGUAUGCGAUCCUCCAAAUAUAUAUAUAUAUAUAUCAUCUUCAAAUCAUUUCAUGUAGACUGUCCUAAAUUUCUAUAAAACUCCAUGGUUUGUCAUGGAAUUUCUGUCAAUGUAAUAUGAAUUUGUAUUGAAGAAUUGAAGUAACUUUACUUACGCC